AACGAACGCUGGCGGCAUGCCUAACACAUGCAAGUCGAACGCGUGUAGCAAUACACGAGUGGCGGACGGGUGAGUAACGCGUGGGAACCUGCCCAGUGGUAGGGAAUAACUGCGGGAAACUGCAGCUAAUACCCUAUACGCCCUUUGGGGGAAAGAUUCAUCGCCAUUGGAGGGGCCCGCGUCGGAUUAGCUAGUUGGCGGGGUAACGGCCCACCAAGGCAACGAUCCGUAGCUGGCUGAGAGGAUGAUCAGCCACACUGGGACUGAGAUACGGCCCAGACUCCUACGGGAGGCAGCAGUGGGGAAUAUUGGACAAUGGGGGAAACCCGUGAUCCAGCAAUGCCGCGUGAGUGAAGAAGGCCUUCGGUUGU
This 371-nucleotide ribosomal RNA is filed under the name uncultured bacterium. RNAcentral describes it as "bacterial SSU rRNA". It matches the Rfam family "Bacterial small subunit ribosomal RNA", at positions 29 to 426 of the family's 1533-position model. The record is from RNAcentral.